This 116-nucleotide ribosomal RNA is filed under the name Pteropus alecto (black flying fox). The record is from RNAcentral. Lineage: Eukaryota; Metazoa; Chordata; Mammalia; Chiroptera; Pteropodidae.
GUCUAUAGCCAUGCCAUUCUGAACAAGCCCGAUGUCUGAUCUCGGAAGCUAAGCAGGGUCAGGCCUGGUUAGUACUUGGAUGGGAAACCACCUAGGAAGUCCAGGUGCUGUAGGCA